GAUGAACGCUAGCGGGAGGCUUAACACAUGCAAGCCGAGGGGUAUGUUUCUUUCGGGAACAGAGACCGGCGUACGGGUGCGUAACGCGUAUGUAACUUGCCCUAUUGAAUGGGAUAGCCCAGGGAAACUUGGAUUAAUACCGUAUAAUAUAUUUGGUGGCAUCAUCAGAUAUUGAAAGAUUUAUCGCAAUAGGAUAGACAUGCGUAUGAUUAGGUAGUUGGUAGAGUAAUAGCCUACCAAGCCGAUGAUCAUUAGGGGGCCUGAGAGGGUGAACCCCACACUGGUACUGAGACACGGACCAG
This 302-nucleotide ribosomal RNA is filed under the name uncultured bacterium. RNAcentral describes it as "bacterial SSU rRNA". It matches the Rfam family "Bacterial small subunit ribosomal RNA", at positions 28 to 334 of the family's 1533-position model. The record is from RNAcentral.